GUACGGGCUCGGGGAGGACGCGUUCGCCGAAGGCGUCCUCGCGGGACGGCGGGCAGCGGCUCCCCUCGACGCCGGUGCCUGGCCGGCCCCGUACACC
RNAcentral lists this transfer RNA (97 nucleotides) under Streptomyces hygroscopicus subsp. hygroscopicus. RNAcentral describes it as "tRNA-Ala". Lineage: Bacteria; Bacillati; Actinomycetota; Actinomycetes; Kitasatosporales; Streptomycetaceae. The record is from RNAcentral.